GGCUAAUACCGGAUAGAGCAUCGAUCGCUGGAAUGCAUGAUGCUCGAAAACCGAGGUGCCAAAGGAUAGGUCUGCGGCCGAUUAGGUUGUUGUUGAUGUAACGGAUCAACAAGCCUCCGAUCGGUAUGGGUUGUGAGAGCAAUAGCCCAGAGAUGGGUUCUGAGAGAAGAACCCAGGUCCUACGGGACGCAUCAGGCGCGAAAACUUUACAAUGUGCGAAAGCACGAUAAGGGAACUCUGAGUGCCUCCUAAGGAGGCUGUUCAGGUGUCUAAAAAGCAUCUGAAGGAAGGGCUGGGUAAGACCGGUGCCAGCCGCCGCGGUAACACCGGCAGCCCAAGUGGUGGCCACUUUUACUGGGUCUAAAGCGUUCGUAGCCGGCCAGGUAAGUUCCUUGGGAAAUUUGACCGCUUAACGGUCAAGCUUUCAGGGAAUACUGCGUGGCUUGAGACCGGGAGAGGUCAGAGGUACCUCAAGGGUAGGGGUGAAAUCCGUUAAUCCUUGGGGGACCACCGGUAGCGAAGGCGUCUGACCAGAGCGGAUCCGACGGUCAGGAACGAAGGCUAGGGUAGCGAACCGGAUUAGAUACCCGGGUAGUCCUAGCUGUAAACGAUGCGGGCUAGGUGUUGGCAUUACUGCGAGUGAUGCCAGUGCCGAAGGGAAGCCGUUAAGCCCGCCAUCUGGGGAGUACGGUCGCAAGGCUGAAACUUAAAGGAAUUGGCGGGGGAGCACUACAACGGGUGG
Molecule: ribosomal RNA, 742 nt
Filed under: uncultured archaeon
Lineage: Archaea
Description: bacterial SSU rRNA
Rfam family: Archaeal small subunit ribosomal RNA
Source: RNAcentral